UCGCGAGAGCUAGCAAAUCCCAUAAACCGUGGCUCAGUUCAGAUCGUAGGCUGCAACUCGCCUACGUGAAGGAGGAAUCGCUAGUAAUCGCAGGUCAGCAUACUGCGGUGAAUACGUUCCCGGGCCUUGUACACACCGCCCGUCACACCAUGGAAGUUGGCCACGCCCGAAGCCGUUACUCCAACCCUUGUGGAGGAGGACGUCGAAGGUGGGGCUGAUGACUGGGGUGAAGUCGUAACAAGGUAGCCGUACCGGAAGGUGCGGCUGGAUCACCUCCUAACA
This 282-nucleotide ribosomal RNA is filed under the name uncultured Synechococcus sp. Its description in RNAcentral is "partial 16S ribosomal RNA". It matches the Rfam family "Bacterial small subunit ribosomal RNA", at positions 1255 to 1533 of the family's 1533-position model. Lineage: Bacteria; Bacillati; Cyanobacteriota; Cyanophyceae; Synechococcales; Synechococcaceae. The record is from RNAcentral.